This 954-nucleotide long non-coding RNA is filed under the name Aotus nancymaae (Ma's night monkey). RNAcentral describes it as "lncRNA (ENSANAG00000038774.1)". Lineage: Eukaryota; Metazoa; Chordata; Mammalia; Primates; Aotidae. The record is from RNAcentral.
GUGACGUGCCCACUGGCCUCUGCAGCCUGACUCUGGGCCUCUGGCACCACGGCAUGUCCGCUGGCCUUCUGGGCACCAACAACAAUAAAGCAGGCAAUGAUCUGAUGCUGCUGGAUGGCUCUGUGGCCCAGAGCCUGGAGGAGCUCAGCCUGGCCUGGCAGGUGGAUGGUGACAGUAGGGCCACCAAGAAGACUCAGUCGACCUGCCCAGGACAGAGCCCCACCUGCUGGGCCUUCUUCCAGGACCCCCGUUCCAGCUUGGGGAACUGCUUCCGGGUGGUGAGUGUGAGCCUGGCCCCUGGGGCACAGAAAGCCCUUUCCCCAGUCUCUGAGUCAGGGAGCCAGGUGAUCAGGCCCGGCUGGUCCCACCCCCACAAAAAAACAAACAAACAAAAAAAACAGCAAUUGGAAACACUCUGGGUUGAGAGUUUCACAGCAAGCACAGCUGAACCUGGGAUGGUCCAGCUCUGUGGGGGAGGGGUGUCCACCAUUACCGCUAUUACUGAGGCACUCCACCACUACAGAGGCAGCCUGCCAUUGCCGAGGCAACCCGUCAUUACAGAGAGAAUCCGUCAUUACAGAGGCAGGUUGCCAUUACUGAGGCAGUUCUAACUACACCCAUAUAAACAGGACUGCAGGGAAGUUCACAUGGCAGCCGGGCAGAGCCCACAGCAGCUGAGCGAAGCCUCUGCAGGCAGUGACUAGGCUGCCUCCUUGCUGGGCAGGGCAGCCCUGAAAAAAAAAGGCAGCAGCACAGUAGAAACUCACUCAUAAAUAAAGCCCUAACUAACUCCCUGGGACAGAACACCAGGGAAAAAAAAGAGGUUUAUGAGUUCUGCUGCAGCAGACUUAAACGUACCUGCCCAGCAGCUCCGAAUGAACAACAGAGCUCACAGCUCAGCACUUGAGCUCCUAUAAAGGACAGACUGUCUCCUCAAGCAGCUCCCUGACCCCC